UUGGUGGUAGAAGGACAGUUGGACUUGAUGAUCCUGGAGGUCUUUACAACUUUGGUGAUUCUAUGAUUCUGUUUUUGUGUUACUUACAGUGACUCCAUUGACUCAUAAGCAUUCUCCUUCUCUGGCUGCCUUUGACACGGCUUCUCUUGUACAGGGAUAUCAGGCUCAGCUGUAGGGUCAAUCUCCGAUAUUUCACUAUUGCACUGUUAGAAACACAUAACAAUGUUAAGAAAUAAAUAUUCUUGCUCUGUCUACAGAAAAAAAGAAUCUCAAUUACCUUGUUUCAUUCAGUGUUUGUGCUGUUUAAGACCAUUAGUUAGUACAGCUUGGUUUACCUCAAGUAAUUCACUUCCCAGAAACUGCAAGCUAGAAAUGUGGUUGAAACUUAGAAAUUCAUCCUGUCUGGUAUAAUAGAUACUAUCUUUUAAGUUGGAACAUAACCAGCUAUAUUUUCAUAUAUGACCACUUAAAGUUUGGUAAUAUUAAUUUAGGAAAGUCUUUCAAUAAGAUUAUAUAUGUAUAAUUUAUUUCAUUUAAAGCACUUAGAUCAUAUGAUAAAAUUAAGUUGUUCAUGCCCUUCAGUUAUCUGUACAGGCUUUGGAGAGAGGCAGUGACAUCUGCAGAAGCCUGCCUGGCCUAACGAGCUUCUCAUGACCACUGACUGCAUGGGAAACCGUGAGAAAUGAACCUCCCAAAUUCAGUGCCAGUAUUUAUUUAAGAUUACCAGUAUGAUUCUUCCUGCUCCCUUCUUUCACACUGAAAUGCACACAUCAAAAUGUUUCCUGGCAUUUAAAAAUUACUGCUUGGCUUUAUGCCACUCACUGAUGCUAAUGAUUUGAAGUAACACUGAAGAUGAUGUGCAGUUAGUGCAGUUUUCAUUGUUGGUAAAACGAAUGUCGAUGCAAUUGACAAAAGUCAUUUACAGCUGUCAGUUUGAGGAAUUUCAACAAAAUCAGCAGUAUGUUUUGUGAAAAUGCCACUUUUUAGCAGAAAGACCCUUUGGAUUCAGCAUUUUUCUUGUACACAUUGAAGCUUUAUUACCUGUUGCUUUAUCUACGUACUUCUGUGGCAAGGUAUGAAUUGGUUCCUCAUACCAUUUCCUCUUUGGGUCUUUAUGUGUGUCUGUCUCCUUGGAGCUGUUAACAAAACAGGACUCACAACUAAUAAACUACCUUUGCUAAAAGACUGCUGGGAGUUUGGUAAUAUGGUUCUUCUUCCUUUUCGAGAUCUUCGUUUGAAUCUGAUGACAGAUUUUCCUCAGUCUUUCCCAGAGUUUUAUCCUGCGAAAAAAAUGUUUUUAUUUGAACAGGUUCACUUAUAUGGAUUGUUUAACAUGGAUUUUGCCAUUUCCUAGUGAAUGUCUACAGGAAACACAUGCACAAAUUGGCACUAGUGUCAGUAUUUCUCCUGGAUGGAUUUGUGGUAACUAGGCAGUUGCAAUUGACUUCAUGUUCAAAACUGUUAUUUUGUUUAAAAAUCAAGUAGGCUGAAUACUAUAUGUAUGAUUCUGCAUGCUUUUAUGUGCUUGUGGGCAAAACUCGUAUUUGUCUUAAAGUUUUUACACGAGGAAAAAAUCUAUGGGAAAUCUGGAAGAGGAUUGGGAGAUAUUUGUCGCUUUUAGGCAGUUUUUAAAUAUUAUCAAGUAAAGAAUGCAUUUGGGACUUCACUUGACUAAUGAAAAGUUUAUUAACUCUCAUUUCUAGAGGUUUCUUAUUCUUUCUCAUAGUCCAGGGGCUGAAGAUCUGAUACUGAAUCCUUUGUGUCCUGAACGAUGUUCGUUAAUACCUCAAUUAUUAAGUCUGCGGCUAUUUGCUCGAUUACUCUGAUUCAACUGCUGCUUGCAGAGGCUGCAGAAGGAAGCCCAGAAGAGUGUGGCACAGCUGCAAAAUAUGACAGCAGGGACAAAUCCUCAAGCACUGCGGCUUCAGAGUAGUCUUUUAUCAACCUCGGGAGAGCUGCCUCAAGGUGCAAUCUCUGCUUGGAAACUCUGAGGAACUGCCCCCAAGAAAAGAGCCUGGCUUUGAGAGCAGUGCCCUGGGCGAAGGUGUGGAGUGGAACGCUCAAGUGGCACACAGGUACUUCAGGAUGUAAUCGCCCUUGUUGGAUUUGGACAGGAUGAAAAAGCGCCUUUUCCACGAAUUCUGCCAAAGAGGAAGUCAUUUGUCUCUUGUUAAAACCUAGGAUAGCAGAAGUAUCUGACGUUUGGUGGGAGAUUGCUGGAAUAUGACUGAUCUGUGUUCAUGUACCUUGGAGUUGAUAAGAUGAUGCGGUGGUGACUUGAUGAAGAAACCAUGCUUGAAAAGUCCACCUUCAGGGCAAAAUGGGUUUUGAGCUUCUACUAAUCAAAGAGAAAUGAAUGGCACCAUUACUCUAUUUGUUGCCGAUUAAUCUCUUAAAAGAAGCUCCUUGAAAUGAAAAUUGUUGCUAAGCACUUGGUUUCUGAGCUUAAAUGACCAUAAAGCACAUUCAAUUAGAGAAGAGAAACACAAAUCAAAGCUAUAAAAUACAGGACCAGUCCCUGCUUCCUUGAUGUCAUUGUUACUGCUGACAACUGGCCAAAGCUGUCAGCAAAUGAUAGAGGUAAUGUACUGUGUUGAGAGAGGUGGCUCAGAAGAUAUCAUGAAGCUCUGUCUUAUUUAAAGUUCUUAUUUAACUUCUGGGGUCUGGUCUUUCUUAGCUUCCUCAUUAGUGAACUGAAAGGCAGUAAAUGGCACCCUAAUGAAAUCUGUACGAAUUCAAUACGGACAGGCAAACACCUCAAAUGAUAGAUGAUCUUACACUGCAGAUCACGAUGCAGCAACUGGGAGAAGUCUUACAGGGUAAAUAUAAGCUAAAAGCUUAGGGUUAAAAAUACGUGAAUAUAUUUGUUCGCAACCCUACAUACAAUCAGGUUUUCUCACCACUGGUGGAUUUCUGAUCAACAGCUCAGUUUACUAACACCCAGUGAAAGGAGUACCAAUCUCAUUCCAUUUUUUAAGCCAUAAGCCCAAUAGGAGAUGUUAAUGCUUUUAAAGAAUCCAGUGACUGAAGAAAGGGCAGUCAACCUCCAACAGUCUAGUGCAAGUUCUGGGAAAGACUGUAAUACAUCAACAUCCAACUCUGUGGAGAGAAACACUUGGUUCUGAGAUCCCAUUUACUACUGACUUCAGGGGAGUAGCCUCCCCAGCUGUACCCUAGGAACAUUGCAUCGCACCUGUUCCUGAUACUGCCUUGGCAGCAAGAUAAGCUCUGUGUGCCCUGAAAGUGCAAGAACACAGCGGUGCGCAUCUUUCAGAAGCAAAAGACGAAGUGUCCUCCCUGAACUGACUGCUGACUUAUAGCUGGUGUAUGAACACAAACACCCUGAAAUAUGACCCACAAGGAAAUUCCAGUUUCUGCCUGGAGAAGCAAAUUAAAGACUGUUCCAAAAGGGGAAACCCAGAUUAAUAUUCACUUACAAACAAUUAAAAAAAUACCUGUUUGUGGCAGCCAUGAAUGUCUCCCAGGAGGAAAAAAGCCUGGAGGAGGAAACCUUUGGUCUACCAGGAGAGAUCUCUUAAAACCUGGUAAUACCUAUUUGCUUGACGCCUUAGAGAGCUUCAGAUAUUAGUGUUUUGCCUUUCUUCCUAGAGAGACAGCUACUGCUUCACCUGUUAGUUGGAAAUUCCCAAGUUGUCUGCAUUUACUGUCCAUAAGAGUAAAUGUACAACAAGAUCUGUAGGGACCCACUCUGUCCCUCCUUUUUUUAAGACAUCACGUCAAGUGGGGCAAGAAGCUUUUCCUACUGCUAGAGUAAACUAACCAAUGCUAAUUGCUUCUAUUCCUUGUCACCACUCACCGGGAACCUCACCAGCCACAAGCUGAAUCAGGGACUGUUGGUGAGGCAGCUACGGAGUGGUGAGAUGCACACAAACCCUGGCAACAGGACAGAGGUAUUUAAUGAUCCACCUUAAUUGCAAGCAAUUUUGAAUAGCACUGAUGGCCUUUUGCUUCACUUGACAGAAGUUGGUAAAGUCUACAUUUUUGCAGUGCUUCUGAGCAAAGAUAGAUUGGCAGUAGUUUUUUAAAUAAUUAAAGAUUGUUCUCAAACAACCUUUAUGAAUAAACUGCACAAGAAGAAGUCUGCUCCUUAACUAUUAUACUGUUACAUUUCUUGGCAUUAUUUCAUAAACCUCAAGUGCUCUGUUUCAGAACCCCUACUUGCUCCCUUAUUGUUCCCAAGGCUUUGUGGCUUCAGAACCACAACGUCCCUCAAUGAAAGGGUGGUUUUGGUGUCAGGGUAUCUUUGUUAGCAGAACCAGCUUAGUAAAAAUCUACCAGCGAAGUGCAAUGAAGUGUAAGAGCUGUGUAAAAGUGUAAGAGUAGAGAAAAUGUUGAAUUGAUACAUUUCUCAUGGUAAAACAUUUCUGGUAUUUCUCCAGUGCUAGAAAACAGUUUAAGAUAGAGCUGUUUGCAGGAACUAAUAAGAACGUUUUCAUAUGAACCACUAGAGCACCGUACAGUGUGAUGUAUACAAACACUUUAUGCACUGGGCAAGAUUAAGGGCUGGCAAAUCAGGAGAUUUCCAUUAAAAUCUUUUCAAUAAUUCUGGUUUACUCUAAAGAAAGGAUCCAGCCUACUUAACCCAAACAAUCAAAUGCCAGCUUAUACUACCAAACUACUUUCCAGCUGACACAGGAAACCUCAUCUUGAUAAAGAUGCAGAAGACCAACAUUCAAGACUGAGAAAAAUUGUGGGACGUAUUUUGGUUGGUUUUCACUUCACCAGAUCAAAUGACCAACAGGCAGACGUUCAUAGGAAAUUAAAAAAACAGGUCUUUAUUGAUAUUAUGCUCAAGACUUUCACAAAACAAUAAUUUAUUUAAUUCAAACAAUUGUAAAUUUGACUUAUGAAAAAGAUAUGCCUCGCUAUGCUACAUUUCCUGUAAGAAAAUAUACUCAAUAAAGAGAUAACUCAGCAUGCACCUGUUUUCUUAGAUUUAAAAAAAGUAAGAGUCCAUAACUAGGAAAAGGGUGAAUAACCUAUCAUUUAUCAGUCUAAUCAAACCAUUAAAAUUACUUUUUUGAGCUAUCAUAUUUAAAAAGAAUAUAAAAAUUAGAAAUAUAAGCAUCAUUGACAUAACUCCAAAGUACAAAAUCAAGACAAUAUAUUAACUAAAAAGGCACUUCUGGUUUCUGAUUCAAGUAUUUCUGGUCUUGGUGAAAUUCCUCACAGAUAGAAGUUAAAUCUAAACGUGCAUUUCUUACUGAAAUACAUAAUUCUGGUGUUUCAACAUUAAAUUGUAAUGUUUUAUAACAAAGUCUAGACAUCAACUUUUUCUGGGUUCAAAACUUAUGAAUCAACAUGCAGGUGUUCUUAUUUCUGCAAGCAGAGAAACUGCACGACUACUGUGUCAGGCUGUUCUCUCAGUUAAUUGCCAUCUGCAAAAAUCUUCACAAUGGUAUUUUGUUAAGGUAUUAUCUAAUUAGUUUGCCUACUUUUAGAAAAACCAAAAUGAAAAUCUUUCUAUUUGAUACAUUUCCAUACCAUUCAGCUGAAUUAUCUGCAAAUAAAAUUAACCUUACGCUAGAAUGAUAACUAAAUUGACAUCCAUAUUAAGCACAGUGCAUCCAUUACUCUUCUUUAAGAGUGUUCUAAAAUGGAAAUAAAUUUAUUAGACUAAGAAGCACCCUUCUGAAUAGCUACAAAGUCAGUUUCACCUCUGGACAUAUUUAUUGUAUGAUGGUCUUUGGAAAUUUCCAAGGAAGUUACAAUUCCAUGAGAUUGCAGUGAAAUAAAAGAUGGAGCUUCAUUUAUAUGUUUUUUUUACAGAUUUUCCAAUCUGUUUUUUGGAGUAAACCUUUAUGGGUCAGGUAACUGACUCUCAGACAGCUACACUAAGAGAAAUCAAAACUAUUUGUAAGAGAAUCAUGGAGUCUACGAUUCUAAUACAAAUUAGAAAUUAGCUACAGGAUUGAUUGAGGGCAUGUAGGUGGUCUUUAAAAUAUUGCCUAUUGUCCAUUUGUCAUGUACCCCAGCUUAUACAAUAUGUAAAUCUAGAGUCAUUACAGUUCUGUUAUUAAAAAUUGUGUUACUGCAAUUUAUAAUCAAAUCUUCACCCCCAAAUUUAUCCCGAUCUCACAUUACUGGCUGUAUUAAAUAUGCUUUCAGAAGUAAAGUUCCUUAGUAAGCAUAGAGACUACACAAGGAAUCUGCUUCUUCUCACUGAAGCGUGGAUCAUCAGACUGUGAUUCAAAAUUCGUGGCAACCACAUAGUUGACCCGUGUGAGGAUCUGCAUGAUCUCAAGUUGUUUUCCGUGUUCAUUUAGCACAGAGCACAGAGACUGCACAAACCAAGAGCCUCUUCCAGGAUUCCUCCAAGAAUAAUAACCUUACAGAAAAGAGAUAAAAGAGCGUGCUUUUUUCCCUCUUCCUUCUUAAGACUUUGCUCUGAAGAGUGGAACAUCAGAGAGAAAUGUACCAGUUUGUGUGAAAGAUUCUGGAUAAGCAGUAACUGCACACAAAAACUUCAGUUGUUAUUACUCCUGUCACAAAUCUUGUUUCACAGACAAGGAAAAUAAUGUGUAUUACCUCUCCAACCUUCAGCAUAUUAAGGUACAAUUCUCUAUGUUUUCAUAAAGCAUAUUUUUGCAAAGGUUCAUGCUAUAGCCCAUCCUCUUCUUGCAUGUAAAUUCAACAUAGUUACUAAACUAGCCUAUCUAAGGUUGAUAUUGCCUUCCUCUGCCAUCUGUAAUGCCUGUGCUUUGUCACCUGCCAGAUUUGGGCUUCCUCCUGUUUCAGCUCAUUGCAAAAGUAGUAAAUGGAACACACUGGCCAAACCAAACACCAUGUCUUAGCAUUUUGUCCAUCGCUACUGAAGCUGUGAUGCAUAAGGGCAGAGAAAAAGCCAGUUCUGUAAAAAUAACACGUUUUAUUGGAGUAACUAUUAUAGAUAAAAAAUGUUGAUUGGCAACUGAAGAUAGGAUAAAUUUUUAGGCUUCUUGCCUCUAAAACUCCCUUCCCACCCCUCUCCCUUUUUUCUUUUUUUUUUUUUUUUUUUACCUGGCACAGUGGAAUAUGCAAACAGAAAAUCUGCUUCUACUGGGAUUUUGUAUCUAGGAUUGGCAUCUGUUUCCAGAGUGUCAUUUGCAGGUCCAGAGUCAGUUUGUAUACCUUCAUCAAACUCAGAGCCUCGGCAUGCCUGAAACACCAGUGAAGAUGAAGAGAACUUGACCAGUAAGGAGAAAUGAGAACGCAUUGUCUCAGGAUUGCUUCUGAAAUCCCCAGACCUUUUGGCAUUGGAGAAGAGCUUGAUUCUUGUUAUUAUAGGGUAGUCAGCCUUUAAGUCCAGGCAAGAAGAUUAUGGCAGUGGCAGACUGAUGAAGUCCACAGUACCGAUCUUCUCAGUUUCAGGUUCUUCUCCAAUUAAGAAAAGGGGAAAUCUUUCUAGGAACUUGGAAGACAGAGAAACCCAGUUCAGAACAUCUAGAAACUAAAUGUGAAGAAAAGGAGUUGAGCUGUUUGAAAGAAGAAGCUUCAGGCUAGAACUUGUGGCAUCCUUUGUACACUACAGGCCCAAAAAUAUAAAAUGGACAACUCUGGAAAAGAUACACAGCUUUGAGAUGGAAAAAAUAUAAACUAUGUGAAACUGUUCUUUGUCAAGUACUAACUGCAAAACUUCCUAUGAACCGAAUAUAAAGAAACUGUUGAUAAUCAAAACUGGGUACAAAACACCUCCUGAAAAAAAUGGAGGAACAACAAAAAAGCAAGACUGAAACAAAGACAAUUUUCCACUCCUUUGGAGCUCCAUAGCUGAGGUUCAGCUGAAGUUGAAUCUCAAAAAUGAGUAUUUAUUCUUUGAAGGACAAGAUUAUUUAUGUUGAGAAAUGUGACUAUACUGAGAUAGAGCUCAUGAAGUUAAAACAGCUUAAGUAACAUUGCACUUCCUUAUUUUUGUGUCCUGUAGCCUAAAUUAACGCCAUAUGAAUGAAAAACAAACAAGACAACAUUCCUAUGUAUCUUUCGAAUCUAAAUACUAGUUGUACGGUAACUGUUGAGUCAGGGCUUGAACCACUGAUUGAUCACCUGUGGAAAGGACAGAGUCAGCCCUGGGAGCACAGGUGAAGGCAAUUCAGCUGCAUGACCAGAGGGGUGAAGCCUGGCUGCACUUCUCUUAGACCUCAUUUAAGGGCUGACUACUGCUGGGGUGGGAUCUCUGGUUGGAGAGCCUUCUCUUGUAGAGUUUUUUUCCUGUAAGCCUGGAUCUUCAGAGAUGGGUGAGCACUUCUUUUCCUCUGUAAUGCCUUUCUGUGGCACUAGUGCCUUUGCUGUUACACUUCCUGUAUCACCAUUCCACUGUAUUGCUCUUUCUGAUUGUUACAUGGGUUUACAAACUUUGGCUGUUUUAUUGGUAGGCAUCAUAACUCUUGAACUGUUGCAGUAAGAUAUGCACUGAUGUUUAUAGAAAGCUUCCAAAUUAAUUAGAAUGUAGUCCCAAACUUUAUGGUGGCCUGAUUUAGUAGAAAUAAAUAACUUUUACUGUUUUAAACAGCUGAAGGACUCUUAGUGAGCACACAUGGGUGUACCCCACCAGACUCAUGGAGAUCUUGUUACAAUACAUUUCACCUUUUUUACUCUAAAGAUACUACUGAAUCACACAGUUUCAGUGGUAAAUAGGCAUUUGUAACUCUUAAAUAUAUACUUAAACAACAUCUUCCCUUUCCAAAUAAGGGAUAUUUUGACUGUACAUCAGACAGCAGGGCUGCAGUGAAUAAAAGUAACCAAAGGACAAAGGGUUCUACAAAAUUAACGAGUAUAAAACUGGUAUCUGUACACUACUAACAACUACCUUCUUCUGCAUUAUACUUCUUCACUGAAGUUCACAGUCCUGAUUAUUGGACGUGUAAGUGCUGGUCUACCAAACCUUGGGAAUUUUUAGAUGCAGCUUUAAACAAACAAAUGACAAAACACAUUAGGAGUAAGAGAAAUUCUAGCUCUAGUUAACAAUGGGAGCUGAAUUCUAUUCCAUGCUAAAUUAUGCUACCUGGAUGCUCAAAUAGGUUUGGCUGCUAUGUUUCCUCAAUCCUCCUAACAGAGUUCUCUAGCUGAAGAUUCCAAGUAAAGAAACUAAAUAAUCUUUUGGAGAAGCGAGGUUAUUUCUAAGGUCUCAAAGAUGGUGAUGUGAGCACACACAGCACAGAAAAGUUUAUAUGGGAAAAGUUCUGUUUGCUUUUAAUUAUCAUUAAAAAAAAUUAAAAACGUGUCUCAAUUCCCAACUCAGUAUUUGCUAUCGUGUCUUUUAAAAUCUUGUUUUGCUCAAGGUUGCCGUAGUGCAUCUUGCUGUGUCUGCCUUCUGAAACGUAGUUUUUUUUGGUCAAUUGCGGGUCUCAUAAAGUUAGUCUUCUGCAAAUUUUGUAGUAAACAAAAGUAAAGCCUUUCUGCCAUCUAGUGGCUACAAAUACCAACAACCGCCUAACGAUCCCAAACACUUUUCUGCCGUUAUUGAAGUUGUAGCACUCUUUCCAAGAAAAGGAAAUACGUAGAAGAGAAUUCCCCCAAACUGUGGUGCACACAGAAGAGUCUGUCCUGUCUGUGGCUUGCUCUGAGCUCUGCUUCCUGCUUGGUGAGCCACGGUCGUGGUCUUAUUAGAGAAAUGUUGAAGAUUCUCACCUAUCUCUGUUUACUGCGAUGGCUAUCUACAUUUCUGUCCAGAGACAGAUAUCUGUGAAGGUACUGGAAGUAGUUGCUCUGUCUGCAUAGCUCUGAUUUUUAGUUUCUUGCUGUUCUGUUUUCUUUCUCGUUACAAUUCACGAGCUUGUUUAACAGUAGAAAAUACUUGUUUUCCCAUUGAGCUUAUCUUUUUUUAAGCUUACAUUUAAAUACGUUUUGAUUUUUUUUUUUAUAUAAGUGAAACUGUAUGCUGACUUCC
Molecule: long non-coding RNA, 9886 nt
Organism: Centrocercus urophasianus (Greater sage-grouse)
Lineage: Eukaryota; Metazoa; Chordata; Aves; Galliformes; Phasianidae
Exons: 10
Source: RefSeq, a predicted model, not a curated record